CACAAGGUGAUAUUGUACCAUCACUCUUCGAGUAAGGUAACAUAUUAAGGUACUUGACUAACACAUUUAUAAGCUUCUCCUUGGUUCUGGCGUUCAUAUGAAUAAAAGAGACAAACAUGUAUGAUUUACAACUCUAGGUUAACCAACCCAAUCGAUUCAACAUGUUUAGUCCUUCCACCUUUGUGAUCCCACACUCCUAAUCAUAUGAGCUAAAAUGUUGCACACUCAAUCUUUGGAAGAUAUAUAUAAAAAACAUAAAUAUAGAUAGAUUAUCUUUCCAUUAGGUUGAGCGAUCUGAUCUGACAAAUAUUUUAAAUGCUACAGUCAUGAUCUUAUUAUCCAUAAACUUUGUGUUGCUCACUAUGCUUAAAGUUAGAGAAGAACAAAUACACUUUUGGUUCUGUUGGUGUUUUCUACCAACAGGGCCCAUGCACUUGAUCUCUGCCUUGUCUCUAUGAGCAGGACACAUUUUGAGAAACAUGGAGGAUUUUUCAACUCCCAGACUCUACCAAGUGAAGGACCUGGAUGUACGAGCACAAACACACUGAGCAAGAUACUGCCAACGCCACACUUCGAACUGCUGGGCAAACGAAGAACAUAGGUGACACCGUAUCAAGAGGUACAGACAUCAAGGUCCACACCUGAAUCAAAUAACGCACCUGAAGAAUGAACACGGUGAGAAGUCUUGUUCAGAAGACUUAAAACAUUGAACCCCUGCCGAAAGGUAAAAUCAGUAGUUAUCCAUAUUUAUCCUUUCUGCAUUCCUUUUUUCCUUAAAUUAUUUACUUUCCUUAAAUAGUUUGUUAGUUAAUCAUGCUAUCUUGAAAAGAAAUUAAAAAAUGUUAAAAACAGUAAGCCCCAUGUGAGUAUGCUCGUGGCAUAAAACCCAUAAGUACAUUCACUGUGGUGGCGUAAAAAUAAAAAUAUUCAUAUCCUAUAAAAAUGAAAAUAUAAAAAUAAGAUUGUGAUCCCACUAAAGAGAAUAACAUUUAUUGAGGAGGCUCAAUUUGAUAAAGGCAAAGAGAUUUUAUGCUAACACUUAACCAGUUCCACAAAACUUUGUUGUCUAUUUGAGCUCCACAGAAUUCAAGGAUCAAAGAAGACUAGCAAACGGAGGACAUCCUAAUCGCUGUCAGGGUGCUGCCGACAUUAAAAUACACCUCCACCACCUGCUAGCUACAUCAGAAGAAAUUACGUCAAAAUCCAGCUUGGGGGAGAGCACCCCCAUUUAUCCAGCUAAGUGUUUCUACUCGCGUUUAUACUUUACUCAAAUAAUAAAAAGAUGCAUAAUCAUAAAAACCCAAAUAAAGAUUUUUGUACAUAUAUAUAUAUAUCUUUGCUUAGUUUGCUAAAUAAAUAAAUAAAUGAAGUUUGCUAUGAACCCUCAUGAUAAGCUCUCAUAUGGAAAUGAUGAAUAGUUGCUCUGCCGUGACUGGAUCUCAAAAUUGAAAUCUCUCUCAAGUUUAGGCAUGAUUGUUAUGAAUUAAGAUUUGCUCUAAACCUGAACUUGUGGGAAGAGUACUUGAUCUAAAGUCUAAGUCGUUAACGGAUAUGAUAUGGGAAGGUUGAGUUGUUGUUUAUCUGUUCCUAGAGAUGCUAGCUCGAGAAUUUUAUCUUUGAAAAUCUUUAAAAUGUUGCAUGAUGAGUUCCUAUAUGAUGAGAGUUUAAAAUUCUAGCACAGCCAAAUAUACAUACUUAUUAGACUAUGAACCAUACAAUUACUUUUUACUACUUAUGAGCAUUGAGUGUGGUCAAGCUGUGUCGACCAUUAGGAGCUUGUCAUGCGGUUAAAAUCAAGAAUCACUUGCACGUUCACUCAUACAUGCUACUUCUACUCCAGAUGUACGCAUCCACAUACAUCCACUCAUUUCCAUCUCCAGAUUCACCCAAAAUUAUUCUACUCCUAUCCGGGAGAGAAUAGCCAAAAACAUUAUCCCAUUACUGCUUUUUCUUGUGAAAUAAAUGCUCGAGAUAUUUUGGUUACUUCCACUUGCUACAUUACUCUAGGAGGGUGAGUGCUCUGAAAAAAAGUGAAUACGAGGUAAUAAAAAGGGGCAAGUGCCCGGAACCUCGAAAGAAAAAAAAGGUGAGACGAGAGGUAAAAAUGGACAAGUGUCCGCCAGUAGAAUUAGGUGUACAAGAUACCCACCUGAGAAAAAAAAAGAAAAUAUAGAGCAUCUCAUUCCCCUCAAAAAAACUUCAAAGUGCAAGAAAGGUAUGUAUCCCCUCAAAAGAGCAAAAGUAGAAUUAGACUUCCACCAUUGUUAUCACCAUACACCAAUUAUUCGCCACACAUGCACAUCUUGAUUUGACUUAUUGACUUAUUUCUCUGGAUCCAUGGUUUGACUAUGCAAUAAAUGUCUUGUAAGUAUGUAUGCUUUAUCUCCCACCUAUGAGCUCCAGAUAUCAAAACCUUAUUAGAGUAGGAUGAGAGAGAAGGCAAUAUCACUAUGCCUUAUACCACAAAUACUACAUACUUUGAGAGAAGGCAUAUACCAUCACUGCCUUGUAAGGAUCGAGAAAUACCACAAAAGAGAGAAUUAAGAGAGUCAUACAAGGAAUCUCUGAGUUUUAUUUGAAAAUCUGCAAAAACUCCAGAGCUAUAGUUGAUCAAGAACAAGAGACAUGGCGCUUGACUUGACCGUUCUAUCUUUUAACUGCUCAAGACAUAAGUGACGGUUGCAAGCCCCAUGGUGAAAGGUAAAAUGAGUAAGUUUUAAGUCUUAACAGUUUACUCUAACUCAGAGAUGAGAUCUUGCUUGAAUGCAUGUGUACUCUUAAGGCAUGAAACCACUACAUAAACUCUUGAGUCCAUCCUUGGUCAGGGACGAGCAAGAGGUAUGCUUGGGGGAUUUGUUGACGGUCCUUAAGUACCAAAUUUAAUUAUCAAAUAAACAAAGAAAAGGAGCCAAAUGCAACCAACACCCAGACUUAGGGUUUUAUCUGACAGAAUUCCAUGAGUUUUGGUGUUUGUCUAUUUCUCUAGGGGGUUAUCAGGAAAUAUGGAGGAAAGGCCCACACGUCGGGUUUACAUAGAGAUAUUAACGUGCCGUGCAAAUUUCUAUCAUCUAGAAGACUCCAGAAGCCACGGGAACGAACGGGAAGCCGAGUGGGCAUUCCGUCUCGCGGAUUAUGCUCCACCGACCUAAAGGAUUAAGGAAAACCAUGCAAUUAAUGUCGGUUUGAUCCGACGGCCCAGAUUCACUUGAGGGGACUAUAUAAGCAGACCCCCUGGCCC
Molecule: long non-coding RNA, 3238 nt
Filed under: Sorghum bicolor (sorghum)
Lineage: Eukaryota; Viridiplantae; Streptophyta; Magnoliopsida; Poales; Poaceae
Description: long non-coding RNA (SBIC_LNC006812)
Source: RNAcentral